Molecule: microRNA precursor, 87 nt
Filed under: Tursiops truncatus (common bottlenose dolphin)
Lineage: Eukaryota; Metazoa; Chordata; Mammalia; Artiodactyla; Delphinidae
Description: miRNA (ENSTTRG00000022208.1)
Source: RNAcentral
GUAUAUAUAUAUAUAUAUAUAUAUAUAUAUAUAUAUGUAUAUAUAUAUAUACACACACACACAUAUAUAUGUAUAUAUAUGUAUAUA